GAUGAACGCUGGCGGCGUGCCUAAUACAUGCAAGUAGAACGCUGAAGGAGGAGCUUGCUCUUCUGGAUGAGUUGCGAACGGGUGAGUAACGCGUAGGUAACCUGCCUGGUAGCGGGGGAUAGCUAUUGGAAACGAUAGCUAAUACCGCAUGACAACAGUUAUUGCAUGAUAACUGUUUAAAAGGGGCAACUGCUCCACUACCAGAUGGACCUGCGUUGUAUUAGCUAGUUGGUGAGGUAACGGCUCACCAAGGCGACGAUACAUAGCCGACCUGAGAGGGUGAUCGGCCACACUGGGACUGAGACACGGCCCAGACUCCUACGGGAGGCAGCAGUAGGGAAUCUUCGGCAAUGGACGGAAGUCUGACCGAGCAACGCCGCGUGAGUGAAGAAGGUUUUCGGAUCGUAAAGCUCUGUUGUAAGAGAAGAACGAGUGUGAGAGUGGAAAGUUCACACUGUGACGGUAUCUUACCAGAAAGGGACGGCUAACUACGUG
RNAcentral lists this ribosomal RNA (495 nucleotides) under uncultured bacterium. Its description in RNAcentral is "partial 16S ribosomal RNA". It matches the Rfam family "Bacterial small subunit ribosomal RNA", at positions 28 to 507 of the family's 1533-position model. The record is from RNAcentral.